Molecule: ribosomal RNA, 489 nt
Filed under: uncultured bacterium
Lineage: Bacteria
Description: bacterial SSU rRNA
Rfam family: Bacterial small subunit ribosomal RNA
Source: RNAcentral
GACGAACGCUGGCGGCGUGCCUAAUACAUGCAAGUCGAACGCACUCUCGUUUAGAUUGAAGGAGCUUGCUCCUGAUUGAUAAACAUUUGAGUGAGUGGCGGACGGGUGAGUAACACGUGGGUAACCUGCCCUAAAGUGGGGGAUAACAUUUGGAAACAGAUGCUAAUACCGCAUAAAACCUAACACCGCAUGGUGUAGGGUUGAAAGAUGGUUUCGGCUAUCACUUUAGGAUGGACCCGCGGUGCAUUAGUUAGUUGGUGAGGUAAAGGCUCACCAAGACCGUGAUGCAUAGCCGACCUGAGAGGGUAAUCGGCCACACUGGGACUGAGACACGGCCCAGACUCCUACGGGAGGCAGCAGUAGGGAAUCUUCCACAAUGGACGAAAGUCUGAUGGAGCAACGCCGCGUGAGUGAAGAAGUUUUCGGAUCGUAAAACUCUGUUGUUGAGAAGAAUGUAUCUGAUAGUAACUGAUCAGGUAGUGACGGUAU